RNAcentral lists this ribosomal RNA (794 nucleotides) under uncultured bacterium. RNAcentral's name for it is "bacterial SSU rRNA". It matches the Rfam family "Bacterial small subunit ribosomal RNA", at positions 8 to 796 of the family's 1533-position model. The record is from RNAcentral.
AGAGUUUGAUCCUGGCUCAGAUUGAACGCUGGCGGCAUGCCUUACACAUGCAAGUCGAACGGCAGCACGGGGGCAACCCUGGUGGCGAGUGGCGAACGGGUGAGUAAUACAUCGGAACGUGUCCUGUAGUGGGGGAUAGCCCGGCGAAAGCCGGAUUAAUACCGCAUACGAUCUACGGAUGAAAGCGGGGGACCGAAAGGCCUCGCGCUAGAGGGGCGGCCGAUGGCAGAUUAGCUAGUUGGUGGGGUAAAGGCCUACCAAGGCGACGAUCUGUAGCUGGUCUGAGAGGACGACCAGCCACACUGGGACUGAGACACGGCCCAGACUCCUACGGGAGGCAGCAGUGGGGAAUUUUGGACAAUGGGGGCAACCCUGAUCCAGCAAUGCCGCGUGUGUGAAGAAGGCCUUCGGGUUGUAAAGCACUUUUGUCCGGAAAGAAAUCCUUUGGGCUAAUACCUCGGGGGGAUGACGGUACCGGAAGAAUAAGCACCGGCUAACUACGUGCCAGCAGCCGCGGUAAUACGUAGGGUGCGAGCGUUAAUCGGAAUUACUGGGCGUAAAGCGUGCGCAGGCGGUUCGCUAAGACCGAUGUGAAAUCCCCGGGGCUUAACCUGGGAACUGCAUUGGUGACUGGCGGGCUAGAGUAUGGCAGAGGGGGGUAGAAUUCCACGUGUAGCAGUGAAAUGCGUAGAGAUGUGGAGGAAUACCGAUGGCGAAGGCAGCCCCCUGGGCCAAUACUGACGCUCAUGCACGAAAGCGUGGGGAGCAAACAGGAUUAGAUACCCCGGUAGUCC